UAGGCAUAGAAAUGAAUCUCUUCUAUCAAGAUGAAAACUACAAACGACUGUUUCCAUGAAAGUGAGAAUAAAGAUGGAGUCUCGCUCUGUCGCCCAGGCUGGAGUGCAGCGGCAUGAUCUCACUGCAAGCUCCGCCUCGCGGGUUCACGCCAUUCUCCUGCCUCAGCCUCCCGAGCAGCUGGGACUACAGGCACCCGCCACCACGCCGGGCUAAUUUUUUAUAUUUUUAGUAGAGGCGGGGUUUCACCAUGUUAGUCAGGAUGGUCUCGAUCUCCUGGCCUCGUGAUCCGCCCGCCUCGGCCUCCCAAAGUGCUGGGAUUAUAGGCGUGACUCACCGCGCCCGGCCCUAUAUUGUGAACUUCUACAAAUAAUAUGAAAGAAACAGAAGACAGGCAACACAAUAGAAAGUGGGCCAAAUCAUAAAGUGGGCACUUCAUGAAAAAGGACAUCCAAAUUGCUAAUAAACAUAUGAAAAGAUGCUCAACUCUCUUAGUCAUCAGCGAAAUGCAAAUUAAUUAAUCAGAAUGAAUAAAAUUAAAAGACAGAAAAUUCAGAGUGUCAACUGGAAUUCUCGUAUAUUCCAGGAAGGAUUAUAAAUUAGUAAAACUUCAUUGAAAACGGUUUGGUAGUACUUAUCAGAGCUGAGUAUAUACUUAACCUUAUGAGCUGGCAAUUCCAGUCUGAGGUAUAUUGUGUGUGUGUGUGUGUGUUUAUAUAUAUUGUAAGGUAGGAGGAUCAGCUACAUUAUUUUCAGGGACAAGUGCAAAAUGAAAUGAAGGAUUCCUGUCGAGGAGAAAUUAAUAACAUACAGUAUUGUCAACUGAAAUCUGGAGGCUUUAAUGCAAAUCUCUUAGUAGAUUGGAAGGAAAAAGGAAUUAAGGAUAGCUCAGGAACUAAAUAAUUACUAUAAGAGAUCUCUUUCUCUUUUUCACACACACGCAUACACACACACAAGCACACAUUUUCUAUGGAAAUAUACAUGAAACAUUUAUAAAUGUUACUUACCACAUAUUAGACUUCAAAAGAUAAUCAAUACAUUCUAAAAUAGCAAAAGUUGUAUAGAAUACAUUCAAAUAUAUUCCCUUCUCUCAAUAAAAAAAAAAAAAACAGAAAUAAGUAGUAUAGUUCCAAAAGUCUC
RNAcentral lists this long non-coding RNA (1138 nucleotides) under Homo sapiens (human). RNAcentral's name for it is "HSALNT0094229". Lineage: Eukaryota; Metazoa; Chordata; Mammalia; Primates; Hominidae. The record is from RNAcentral.